RNAcentral lists this ribozyme (119 nucleotides) under Aedes aegypti (yellow fever mosquito). Its description in RNAcentral is "drz-agam-1 ribozyme". It matches the Rfam family "drz-agam-1 ribozyme". The record is from Rfam by way of RNAcentral. Lineage: Eukaryota; Metazoa; Arthropoda; Insecta; Diptera; Culicidae.
UGCCCAGCAACUCCUAUCCCUACCUCCUCGAGGUACUGGGCGGGAUACGAGUAACCUUAGAGAAGAUCGAGUAACAGGGUUGGUUGGUGGGAGCUUUGAUCGUAUGCUGGCAGGGAAGG